RNAcentral lists this ribosomal RNA (527 nucleotides) under uncultured bacterium. Its description in RNAcentral is "partial 16S ribosomal RNA". It matches the Rfam family "Bacterial small subunit ribosomal RNA", at positions 355 to 874 of the family's 1533-position model. The record is from RNAcentral.
UGGGGAAUUUUGGACAAUGGGCGAAAGCCUGAUCCAGCAAUGCCGCGUGUGUGAAGAAGGCCUUCGGGUUGUAAAGCACUUUUGUCCGGAAAGAAAUGGCUCUGGUUAAUACCUGGGGUCGAUGACGGUACCGGAAGAAUAAGGACCGGCUAACUACGUGCCAGCAGCCGCGGUAAUACGUAGGGUCCAAGCGUUAAUCGGAAUUACUGGGCGUAAAGCGUGCGCAGGCGGUUGUGCAAGACCGAUGUGAAAUCCCCGAGCUUAACUUGGGAAUUGCAUUGGUGACUGCACGGCUAGAGUGUGUCAGAGGGGGGUAGAAUUCCACGUGUAGCAGUGAAAUGCGUAGAGAUGUGGAGGGAAUACCGAUGGCGAAGGCAGCCCCCUGGGAUAACACUGACGCUCAUGCACGAAAGCGUGGGGAGCAAACAGGAUUAGAUACCCUGGUAGUCCACGCCCUAAACGAUGUCAACUAGUUGUUGGGGAUUCAUUUCCUUAGUAACGUAGCUAACGCGUGAAGUUGACCGCCU